This 375-nucleotide long non-coding RNA is filed under the name Mustela putorius furo (domestic ferret). RNAcentral describes it as "lncRNA (ENSMPUG00000027792.1)". The record is from RNAcentral. Lineage: Eukaryota; Metazoa; Chordata; Mammalia; Carnivora; Mustelidae.
GUUUUGUUCCUGGAGUGAAGGCACCUUACACUCUGGGAGUACAGAGGCAAGAUAAUAGUUUGUGCUUGGAACAGUGCCAGGAAUGUGGUAAGUAAUCUGGAGAUAUUAACCUAUUUAUGUAAUCCUUAUAUCAACUCUGUGAGGUUGAUAUUAUUAUUUCGGUGUUCUAGGACCAGCGGUGUUGGAUAAUUUGUCCAAGACCCUGCAGCUAAUAAAUGGAGGAACUGAGAUGUUCUUGAGUGAGAAACUAGAUUGAUUUUUCAUGUAAGACAUAUUUUACAAUUUUUAAAAAAACAUUAAUGCACAAAGAUAGGCACUUAAGAAAUUGCCAAUAAAUCCUUGCCAACUGAGAGGUGGAUUACUAUUAUUUUUUUU